AUGCCCUGCUGUCCUUCAAGCACGGCAUCACCAGCGACCCCUUGGGCGUCCUUGGCUCUUGGCACAAGGAAGACUGCUGUCGCUGGAGGGGCGUCAAGUGCAGCAACCGGACCGGCCAUGUCCUUAGGCUUCAUCUUCGUAAUCUGCAUGCAGACACGUACACUUCCGAUGAGGAGAUCAUGGGUGUGUACACCAGAGACACAGCUUUGGUUGGCCAGAUAA
RNAcentral lists this ribosomal RNA (222 nucleotides) under Triticum aestivum (bread wheat). RNAcentral's name for it is "partial small subunit ribosomal RNA". The record is from RNAcentral. Lineage: Eukaryota; Viridiplantae; Streptophyta; Magnoliopsida; Poales; Poaceae.